This 460-nucleotide ribosomal RNA is filed under the name uncultured bacterium. RNAcentral's name for it is "partial 16S ribosomal RNA". It matches the Rfam family "Bacterial small subunit ribosomal RNA", at positions 338 to 795 of the family's 1533-position model. The record is from RNAcentral.
CCUACGGGAGUCUGCAGUGAGGAAUAUUGGUCAAUGGGCGCGAGCCUGAACCAGCCAAGUAGCGUGAAGGAUGACUGCCCUACGGGUUUUAAACUUCUUUUAUAAAGUAAUAAAGUGAUACACGUGUGCCUUUUUGUAUGUACUUUAUGAAUAAGGAUCGGCUAACUCCGUGCCAGCAGCCGCGGUAAUACGGAGGAUCCGAGCGUUAUCCGGAUUUAUUGGGUUUAAAGGAAGAGUAGAUGGGUUGUUAAGUCAGUUGUGAAAGUUUGCGGCUCAACCGUAAAAUUGCAAUUGAUACUGGCAGUCUUGAGUACAGUUGAGGUAGGCGGAAUUCGUGGUGUAGCGGUGAAAUGCUUAGAGAUCACGAAGAACUCCGAUGGCGAAGGCAGCUUACUAAACUGCCACUGACAUUGAUGCUCGAAAGUGUGGGUAUCAAACAGGAUUAGAUACCCCAGUAGUC